RNAcentral lists this long non-coding RNA (432 nucleotides) under Homo sapiens (human). Its description in RNAcentral is "PREDICTED lncRNA (TCONS_00247548)". The record is from RNAcentral. Lineage: Eukaryota; Metazoa; Chordata; Mammalia; Primates; Hominidae.
CUAGCCUCCAAGACAGCCCCGCCGCCAGAACAGCCUCUCCUCCAGGACCGGCCAGCCUACGAGAGAGCCCCGCCUACGGUACAACCCGCCUCCGGGACCGCAGGACUCCACCUCCGAGACAGCUCAGUCCCCAGGACAGUCCCGCCUCCGAGACGGCCCCGCCUCCAGGACGGCCCCUACCUCCGAGACCGCCCCGCCUCCGGGACCGCCCCGCCCCGCCUCGCCUCCGACACGUCCCCCGGGCGCCACUGCAGAGCCUGUCCGUCAGUCCCUAGGUAUCCGCACUGCUCAGGGAGUUUCGCUCUUGUUGCCCAGGCUGGAGUGCAAUGGUGCGAUCCUGGCUCACUGCAGCCUCUGCCUCCUGGGUUGAAGCGAUUCUCCUGUCUCAGCCUCCUGAGUAGCUGGGAUUACAGGUACCUGCCACCACAUCUG